Molecule: long non-coding RNA, 401 nt
Filed under: Numida meleagris (helmeted guineafowl)
Lineage: Eukaryota; Metazoa; Chordata; Aves; Galliformes; Numididae
Description: lncRNA (ENSNMEG00000000120.1)
Source: RNAcentral
AUGUCUGUGUGCAGGGGAUGUGAGAAAUUGGAACGCUCCUACCAGCAAUGUUCUUUGCAGAUGCUUCACUGUGAUCCGCUGGAGGGGAGUCCGUGUCAUCAGAAGGUCUUCAGGAAUGGCCAUGAGCAAAGAUGUCCCACCUCAUGCCUACUUGCAUACAGCAGUUAUGGGCAGCCAAGGUGAUUCUUCUACUCUACUCAGUAUUAUCCAUAGCUGACCCUUGGAGCAGUCUGAAAAUGUGAUGAAACACUUUGCAGAUGAUGUUUACUGUGAAGCUGUCCAUAGAUUCCUUGUGAAAAGUUGUCUAUAUGGACAUUGCCAUUGAUACCCAUUAUCACUUCUUCGCAUCAUCUUUAUUUCCAGGAAAUAAAAUGGAAAGAAUUAUGGAAAAAUAAAAAACC